GGCCGUCCUCGAGCUCAGGGCCUGGACUCUCCUCAGACCAGGAGCCGAACAUGGGGGAGGACUCUAGGUGUGCGGGGGGAGGGGGGGAGGAGGGACCUGCUAUUCGAGGCUGUAUCGUCCAGGGAGGUUCUGGAGGUUCCUGUGGCCUUUAGAGCGGGCGGGGCCCUCGGGGACGAGCGGGGGCCAGUGGCUCCUGGUCCCUGGGUUGGCCUGGGGCGCUUUUACAUUGCCAGCCCUGGAGGAUGGGGGGGGGGGCGUCACCGCCGAGACCCCUUAAUGAAUGAAUGGCAGCGGCCCGUGGGGUUUUCUCCUGAGCGGGUUGGGGGCUUGGGCUCUCCUCUCACGGGGCUGCCCUCGGUCUGGGUACCAGCCCACCACCGGCUGCCUGCGAGGGAUGGCUCUCGGCCCGGCACCAGACUGAGGGAACUAGCCGUGGUGUCGUGCGCCCUCUCCCGGCCGCGGAGGGGAUAGCCCCCGGCCAGCUCUGCCCCCUCCCCCUUCGUCCCCCAAUCGUUGCCCAGAGCCCGAACGCUGGCCCCGAAAUGCUCAGAAUUAGAAAGACUCGGGUCCGAUUCUGCCCGGGACACUCCGCCUUCCUGAGCUUCUUUCUGCAUUAAUAAAACCCGGGUCAGAUGGUGGAGAAAGGUUUACACGGGGAUUGUUGGGGCUCAACGAGCCCUCCUGGGAAGUCGCUGUCCACACUGGAAAGCACCGUCCCCAUUUCCGUCGUUAUUAUCAUCACCCUCGGUGCUUCCCCGGCUGCCGGUCCUUCUGGACUUGAGGUGGGAUCUGGAAACAUAAGAGUGCUCUCCCCCAGCCCGUUCUCCUGGGCUGUGCCCCUGGCCGAGCACUCUCUGAAGCCCAUUUUUCUCAUCACUCUGUCCUGCCUUUCUCACAGCAGCCAGUGAGAGUGGCGGCCUCAGGGAGAAGCCCAGAGAGGCCUUCGUCCGCCCGGAGAGGCCUUUGUCCACCGGCCCCUCCAGGGCUGGCGUGGGGGAGACCUCAGCUGCCUCCCCUCCGAGGCAUGGGCCCCAAACCUCGUAGUUUCCUUGCUAACUCAUUAAUGGGGCCGUCACCCGUGGAGUUAUCUAAAACUUUUGUGGAACUUUCUAUUUCUGGCCUGGACACGUCUUAAAAUAAGGAGUUCCAUGGGUACCCUCCCCCACGUGGGAAGUAGAGCUGCCUUUCAUAUGCCCUAAACUUACCUCUUUCUAGCCCCCGGCAGUGCUGAUCCAGGUUUCUGUGAGUGACUCUAUGUGGCCCACUUCAGCCGGACCUUCCCAUGACCCGGAACUGGUUCGUUCCCUGGGAAAUCCAGCCCCCGCCGCCAUCACCCCAGCCCCCGCGCCCUCCCCUUCUAAAAAAUCACAAAACAACAGUAUGUCAGACUCGGGGGACCACCCCAAACCCAUUGGAUGACGAGCCUCGGGACUCCCAAAAAGGCCAGAGCCCUGAGCGAAACCUGAGCAGAAGAAAUCCAAUAGGGGCGAGUGCCAAAUGACAUCCCAGAGGACCACGGCCUGGGGGAUCCUGGGAUGGAGUUGGACUGCAGUGAGGGAGGCAGCCUCCUUGCUCCUGCAGAGCUCCCUGGGUCCAGUGGUCAGAGAGAUCCGGACAGGAGAUGCCUCCAGAUGUCACAUCAGCAUCCCGUUGGAGCAGAUAUAACCCCCCAGGUCAAUGGCAGCCCCUCCACACACUCAUAGACAAUCAUUGUGAGUUGCUGAGACCAAAGGAAAAACAUCCUCUGGCAGGCAGGAAGAAUGGGAGGAAAAACAGAGAGAAUACACUUUUCUCUGCAUUCAAAGUCCCUUGGCUCGAUUAUCUGGUGGUGAGUCCCGGGUUUCAUCUGGUUGGUGAGUUGAUUCGUGUCCGUAAAGUCUUUUAAAGUUGAUUACGUUCAUAACAUUGUUACCGCGUCACCCUUCUCCUCGUUCCGUUCGUGUAAGUCUUCCCAGGUUUUUCUGAACCCAUCCCUCUCAUCGUUUUGUUUUUGAAAUGUUUUUAAACCUUUUAUUUCUUUAUUUUUAGGUUUUACAUGUACAUUCAUUUAAAAAAAAAAACAUUUCCAUACGAGUCGUGUUGUGAAAGAAAAAGCAAAAAAAAAAAAAAAAAAAAAAAAAAGCUAAAUAAAUAAAUAGAAAAAAGAAAAAGCAGAAGAAACGGAAAGAAACCAAACCAGGUGAUCCCCAUCCAGUCUCCGGAGCUCCCUCCCUGGAUGCGGAUGCCAUUUUCCAUUCCAAGUCUGUUGGAAUUGUCUUGGAUCGCCGAGAAGAGCCAAGUCUUUCCUAGUUGCUCAUCUCCGUGUUGCCGUUGCCGUGCACAAUGUUCUCCUGGUUCCGCUCCCUUCCCUCAGCAUCACUUCUAAGUCUUUCCAGGCUUUUUUGAAAUCAGCCUGCUCAUCAUUUGUACAGAACAACAGUAUUUCAUCGCACUCACGGACCACAACUUGGUCAGCCAUCGCUCAGUUCUCGGGCAUCCCCUCUGUUCCUUGCCACCGCAAACAUUCUUGCCCGUGUGAGUCCUUUCCCUCUUUGGGAUACGAGUAGAGACACUGCUGGAUCGAAGGAUAUACACUUUGCUCAUUCCCAACUCCACCAACAAUGCAUUAGUGUCCCCGUUUUCCCAUAUUCCCCCCCCCACUCCCCUCAUUUCUUACAUCACAGUAGUACCUUCCACAACCUGUUCAGCCAUUCCCCAAUUGAUUGGGAUCCCCUCAGUUUUUAAUUCUUUGCCACCACAACUUAUUAUCAUUUUUUUGCUAUAUUCUUAUACCAAGCAAACAGGUCCAGUUUCAUAGAGUCCAAAUGGCUUUGCAGAAUGGGAUGCACUUGGCAAGAACACAAAGCAUUUAGCAUUUUUUUAAUACAGCAUUUGCCAUUUUCCUUUUUUUUUUUUUUGAUAACUUAGUCAAACUGAUUAUUAUGAGGUAAUAGCCUCCGAGCCGUUUUCAUUUCUAAUUUGCAUGUCUCUGAUUAGUGAUCUGGAGCAUUAUUUUAAGUGGUUGUUAAUAACUUGCAUUUCUUUUUCUGAAA
Molecule: long non-coding RNA, 3032 nt
Organism: Antechinus flavipes (yellow-footed antechinus)
Lineage: Eukaryota; Metazoa; Chordata; Mammalia; Dasyuromorphia; Dasyuridae
Exons: 5
Source: RefSeq, a predicted model, not a curated record